Molecule: long non-coding RNA, 418 nt
Filed under: Homo sapiens (human)
Lineage: Eukaryota; Metazoa; Chordata; Mammalia; Primates; Hominidae
Description: non-protein coding lnc-ICE2-6:6
Source: RNAcentral
AAAGAGGUUUAGCCACUGAGGGAGAAAUGCAUCCCCAGGUCUGAGGGGAUAUCCCUUUUCUUCAAACAAUCCCUGGGUUGUUUGUCUACAGUAGAACUCUCUUUAAUAAAAAAAAAAAAUGAAAUGAAAUAAAAAUAAAGUAAAAGAACGCCCAUCUUCAGUAUACCAAGCAGCAUGCAGGGCAUAAUCGCCUCAAUUCUUGGUAUCUGGCACAAUGUUCAGUUGGCAGAACCACGCUUUCUGUGGGGGUAAUAAGCUUAAUAUUUAGCCUGCAUUACUGGGGCAGUGGUGAAGGGAGGGGGACAAAAUGGGAGAGAGACCACUGUAGAAAUGGAUAUUGAAUUCCAAGUAUUAUUGUUGGAAUCUCUGGAGAAAAUGGCUCCUGAACAUACAGGAUUUUCAGUACAGUUUAAAAAAG